CAAUAAUCUGCUGAAAGCACGAAUUCUUCUAACCAGUCCCCUUCCUUAGCACGCCCCAGAUGCGAACAAUGAAGCCCAUGGAGAACAGCGUGGCAGUUUCUGCAUGGUGAAAAGCUGGCAACAUUUGCUUGAAAACAGGCUGGCAGCACUGUGGGAAGGCACUCAUCCAUUGCCCUGACCCAUCCCUGAGGAACCGAGUUCUGAUGGAUACCAUUACAGCAACACGUGCUCUGACACGACGGGACAUGUGGACACGUGCAGGUGUUCUCAAAACCUCUCCCCCGAUUCCUUCCUUUGGUGUCAUGGUUCACUUCCAUUGGGAUCACGCAACAAGAAGUGGGAUGUGAAAAACCCCGUUUGUUGGAUGUUUACAUCUCAGCCAUAGCAGCCCAAGUCUGUGAGUACUGAAGCACAGAAGCCACUACUGUUGCUGUUGAUCGGAUUAAAAGAAAAUGCAGUCCCACUGGAGACUUAUGGCCAUUCAGGGGAAAACAAAAUAGAAAAAAAGAGAGAACAAAAACCUGGAAGAAGUUGGAGUGCUCCUGGGAGAUCAGAGCACAGGUCCAAGAGCCCUCUGCAGAGUGGAAAGAAACCAAGGGUGCUGACUUCAUAAAGAGGGAAANNNNNNNNNNNNNNNNNNNNNNNNNNNNNNNGGGAGAAACUUUGAUCUACCAAACUCUUCUGAAAGAGCCUGAGGGCACCGGGGAAACUCAUCCUGUUUGGGAUCAUGAAGAUGGAAUCAGGUGCACGCAGAAAAUGCUGCUCGUUUCCCUCCUCCUGGCUUCUGAGAACAGUUUUUGAGCUCAUGGCUCCUGCUAGCUGUCACUUUGCUCUCCUGUCAGAAAAGAGUUUGUGGAGCAGUAUUGGCUGAGGAGACUUUAAGUCUCGAUCCUCUUUGUAAAUGAAAGCAAAACAUAUCAGAAGGGUAGAGUAUUACUCUUCCAUUUUUUUUGGGGGGGGGGGGGGGGGGGGGGGUUUUUUUUGCUUUGCUUUGUUUUGCUGUUUUUUUUGUUUUGUAAAACAGGAAGUUUAGACAAAAUUGCACUUAAAUGAGACUGGUCUCUUCCAUUUGCCUUGUUUUGAGCGUUCUUGCCUACCUGCCUGAUAGGAGCCAAGAUGGGCACCUCGAUACUAAUUCAUAGAAUCAUUUGAGUUGGAAGGGACUUUUAAAGGCUG
Molecule: long non-coding RNA, 1176 nt
Filed under: Chrysolophus pictus (golden pheasant)
Lineage: Eukaryota; Metazoa; Chordata; Aves; Galliformes; Phasianidae
Description: lncRNA (ENSCPIG00010008734.1)
Source: RNAcentral